Molecule: ribosomal RNA, 501 nt
Filed under: uncultured bacterium
Lineage: Bacteria
Description: partial 16S ribosomal RNA
Rfam family: Bacterial small subunit ribosomal RNA
Source: RNAcentral
AUUGAGCGCUGGCGGCAUGCCUUACACAUGCAAGUCGAACGGCAGCACGGGUGCUUGCACCUGGUGGCGAGUGGCGAACGGGUGAGUAAUACAUCGGAACGUACCUUAUCGUGGGGGAUAACGCAGCGAAAGUUGCGCUAAUACCGCAUACGCCCUGAGGGGGAAAGCGGGGGACCGUAAGGCCUCGCGCGAUUAGAGCGGCCGAUGUCUGAUUAGCUUGUUGGUGAGGUAAAAGCUCACCAAGGCGAUGAUCAGUAGCUGGUCUGAGAGGACGAUUAGCCACACUGGGACUGAGACACGGCCCAGACUCCUACGGGAGGCAGCAGUGGGGAAUUUUGGGCAAUGGGGGCAACCCUGAUCCAGCAAUGCCGCGUGAGUGAAGAAGGCCUUCGGGUUGUAAAGCUCUUUUGUCAGGGAAGAAACAGCAGCUCUAACACAGUCUGCGAAUGACGGUACCUGAAGAAUAAGCACCGGCUAACUACGUGCCAGCAGCCGCCGUAA